CCUACGGGUGGCAGCAGUCGAGAAUUAUUCACAAUGGGGGAAACCCUGAUGGUGCGACGCCGCGUGGGGGAAUGAAGGUCUUCGGAUUGUAAACCCCUGUCAUGUGGGAGCAAAUUAAAAAGAUCGUACCACAAGAGGAAGAGACGGCUAACUCUGUGCCAGCAGCCGCGGUAAUACAGAGGUCUCAAGCGUUGUUCGGAAUCACUGGGCGUAAAGGGUGCGUAGGCUGUUUCGUAAGUCGGGUGUGAAAGGCGCGGGCUCAACCCGCGGACGGCACAUGAUACUGCGAGACUAGAGUAAUGGAGGGGGAACCGGAAUUCUCGGUGUAGCCGUGAAAUGCGUAGAUAUCGGGAGGAACACUCGUGGCGAAGGCGGGUUCCUGGACAUUAACUGACGCUGAGGCACGAAGGCCAGGGGAGCGAAAGGGAUUAGAUACCCGGGUAGUC
RNAcentral lists this ribosomal RNA (446 nucleotides) under uncultured bacterium. RNAcentral's name for it is "partial 16S ribosomal RNA". It matches the Rfam family "Bacterial small subunit ribosomal RNA", at positions 338 to 795 of the family's 1533-position model. The record is from RNAcentral.